This is a long non-coding RNA of Parus major (Great Tit), 4367 nucleotides long. Lineage: Eukaryota; Metazoa; Chordata; Aves; Passeriformes; Paridae. The record is from Ensembl.
AUGAAGCAAGCAGCUGGAGUUAGAUCUCGAGACCAGCGUCACCCACGCGGCAGGACCGACACUGCCCUGUGCCACAGAGCCGACCUGUUGCCUGCGAUGGGCCUGCUGCUCGGGAGGGCCGGGGAGCGGAGCAGCUGCUCACGGUGGGUGCCGGGGAGCCCCGGGGAGCCCCGGGAGAGCCCCGGGAGAGCCCCGGGCAGCCCCCGCAGCCCCUCCAGCCUCCGGGCUGGCCUCGCCGACAAAACCAACCGCGCUGCGACGGCUCCUCUUGCUACCGGGAAGGAAGAGCGGGAGCCGGGGGAAAAGCAGGCUCCUUCUACCCGCUUUGGGCAGCAGAUCUUUAGAGGAUGGCGUGCUCAGGAGCGGCACUGGAGGGUCUGGAGCAGUGGCGCCGGGCGCUCUGCGGGCACGGCCGGGCCCCCAGGCCAACGCUGCCGUGCCUCCCCCGGCCGGAGGCGGCGAGGCCGGGCACGUGUGCGGGCCCGGGCUCGGUGACUCAUGAGGCGCCGGCCGCUCCGCCGCGGGGAGGAUGAGGGAGGGCGGCCCCGGGGGAGGGCAGCCCGCCGCGCCGCCGCCCCGCUCCGCGCCUUCCCCUCGCUCCCGCGGUGCCCGGAGCGCGGAGGCCGCACCGGGAUUAGGUGAGCGCGGCCGGGGCCGGGGCCGGGGCCGGGGCGGGCUCGGCUCCCCGUGGGCCCGGGGCUGGCGGCGGGGCCGGGGCCGGGUGGCGCUUCCGGGCGGGGCGGGGGCGGCGGCGGAAGCGGGGCCGGGGCUGGCGCGGGGAGCCCGGGCCGCCGCUGCCUCCGCCCGCCGCGCCCGCGGCACCGUCAGCAUGAGCCGCUGAGCCGGGCGGGCCGCGCCGGCAGGGCCCCGCCGGCAGGCCCGGGGUGAGUGCGGCGCCGAGGCCCGGGCCCGGCGGCGGGGGAAGCGGGCGGCGGCCCUGGCGGGGCGGCUCCGCGGGGAAGGGAGGCAGCGUUGCUGAGGGCCGGGAACGGGGAACGGGACCGGGGCGCGGCGCUCCCCACGCGUGUCCCCGCCGGGAGCCCGGACCCCCCCCGCGGGGCUCGGCCGAGGGUCGGGGCCCCCGGGCCGGCUCCGCGCUGCCCCGGCGGGCGGGGGGCGGCCGCAGAGGCCGCGGUGCGGGGCGGUGCGGGCGGCAGCGCCCUGUGCGCACACACCGCACGGCCCGCGGGAAACAACCGCUGGUUUGCUUUCCAGAGAAAGUUCUUGAAUUCAGAACUUGGGUUCGCAGGUGCAAACAAGUCCGUUUGUUGAGAUGCUGGUAUAGUGGAAGAGAAAAAUGCAGGAAUGUUUGUGUAAAAUGGUUGUCUUGGAAAAAUAUGUGACUGUUUCUUUUAGAAAGAAAUAAUUUCUUUUGGUCAUUUUUUUGAGGUGGGGAAUGUAUGCCCCGGAGCGAGGGAGAAGCAGGACACGGGUGACAGAGAUAAUGAAGUGCAGGAGAGCAGGUUCAGGGAAGGAAUGUAACGGGAAAGAAGGAUGGGAGUAAUGAAUAGUAAUGGUGAAUAACUUAACUGGGUUAUGUCUUUUUUUGGCACUAUGGAGAAAGGUUUCUAAUGAAACGACAACACAUUCCAAAGUGACAAAUGAUUUGCAUAAUGAAUUAUUAACCGAUGGCGCUUGUUGCUGCAGGGGAAGUUUGGGGUGAGAGCUGAGAAGAAGUUGCAGGCUCCCCUCAGGCUGGCUGCAUGUGACACUGACCCUGGGCAGGCCCACUGGCAGAGAACAGUGUUAUGAUAAUUUAAAGUAGAUAAAAGAGGAAGAAAUGAAAGGCUUGGCAGCCCCGUGCUCAGUGCAAUGGUGACAGGACUGCUGCACGUGGAAGGCUGGGCUGUGCCACUGCAGGAGCCAGAGGUGUUGGGAGUGUCUGUGCUCUGGGCUGAAAGCAGCUGUGGGUACUGGCCAGUUCGGGUGUAUCCCACAGCUGCCUCCAGCCUGGUCCCCCUGGGUAGGUGUCUGAGGAGAAUCUGAAAUGCACACCUGCAGUCUGGAGGGCAGGUGAAUGCCCCAUUCCAUGGCCUUGGUGCGAUGUCCCAGCCGUGCCCUGCUGCAUCCCUGCAUCUGGUGCUGCUCUGACUUAGCUGUCCUUGGAGCUGGCUGUGUUGGAAGCCUGGAGUGUAAGUGUGAGGUCCUGGAGCUGUGAUGGGAGCCUGCACUGCCCAUUGGCAGGGUGCUGCCCCGCAGGGCUGGGGUUUGGCUCCCACAGCAGACAGGCUGUAAAGGCUCUUGUGAAGUUCCACUGUCCAGGAGGGUUUCUGUGGCCACAGGAAGGUUCUUAAAUGUGUGUUGUAGAUGAAGAUCUGAUGGCCAGCUUAGAUUAAAUCAUAGGCUUCCCUCUCUGGUUUUAUUUCCUUCGAGUACUUGUUUCAUUCUGCUGCUUCAGUGUCAGUGAGGAGGUUGUAUUGACAGUUUAUUGACUGUAAUUAGGGGCAUGAGCCUCAGCACCUCUUCAUUCCUAAAUAGUGGAUGAUUUCUGCUCGGGGUGAUUACUGUUCAGGAACUGCUGGAUAAUCUGAAGACAUCAUUUUCUGAUACUGAGGAAGUCACACGUGUUGGGCUGUAAAAGGCCUUGUGGUAACUCUGUUGCUUUCAAAGGCUUAAGAGGUGUUUUCCUUAGGCAUAUUUUCGAUGGGAAUGUUGUAAACAGCAUGUUAGCUAAGGGCAGCUUGUUAAGGUAAAACUGCAAGGAAAAGUUCUGUUCCCAUUUGUUAUGAUUUAUGUUCAUGCCAAGGAUGAUUUUUGCAACUAUGAGUUUAUCAGCAAAUUCCUGCUACUACUCUUGUCUGGAGGGAAGGGAGAGGGAGGAUCUGGCAGAGUUCAGUCACUUCCCUGGGAAUUCCUGCCCUUCGGUGUGACCUGCUGUGCCCAGCCCUACACACAGGCUCUCCUCUCCCUUGCAUGACUGGUAGUCUCCACUGUUUUUGUCCCUUAAGGAUUAGAGCAGUUUCCUAUGGUUAUUAUUUUUUAAUUUAAUUUUAUUAACAAUUAUAUACUGUAAACUUAGUUUCCCAAGUUAUGCAGCAAAGUAAACAACAUUUCUUUCCUCCUACCCCCUAAUUAUUUACCAAAAGGAUGCACAUGUAAAUAUGUUUGAAUGCUGUCCCUGGUUACAUUUGGAGCCUGCUCUGCCGAGAAUAUGUGCAAUUGCAAUUCCAUUAGUAUCAAAGAGAGUUCCCAGCAAUUAACAAGGAAAGAGAAGGGACUAUUAAAACUGUGCUGUGGUUGUGCUGAAACUUCAGUUCACCCUAAGAUAAGAAAAUACAGUUAAUGUGCCGAGUUGUGAGGUGAAGGCUUGCUGUGGUUGCUGUGAGGAUGCUGGUGCCCACUCUCCCUUCAGCAGUCUGUGCAAGGGGAAUGUCCUGGGCAGGACUGUGAUCAGAGGAAAAAGCCGGUGACAAAUGUUGGUUUACCCUGAUCUGUGCAUUCAAAACCAGCAGUAAGUUUUGCUGUUGUGAAGAUGCUCUGAAGUCUCCUCAACAGCUUCAGAGGCAGCGACAGAAGAGCAACAGCAGCACCUGAGCUGGGGCAGGCUGACAGAUACGAGGCUUCCUAUGCCCAUUGUGGAGUUUGGGGUUUGAUGUGUGCCGAUUUCACCUCAGGGUGAAAUCCCACUAUCUAUCAGAUAAAGAAUUGCUUUUCAUAAAGGGUCAAUUAAUUUUUUUAAAUAUCUACUUUCUGUCAACUCCUACCCUGUGAAACAGUCCAUGUUUCAGAUUAUGUGCAUGUAAUUGCUAUAGAAGAAUAUUUUUAUCCAAAAUAUCUUUAUUUUAAGUAGCUGGGAAGAAAAAAAAAGUUUGCAAUAGGUAUAAUCUGUCACCAGUAAAAUCUGACUUGAGUUUCUCACAAUUCAGCUAGAUUUAUCUUGAAUUUUUGAAGGUAAAAUUGCUGUUGGUACGAAUUAGUAAGAGCAGCAGCGGUGUGUAAGGUGACAGACAGCACUUCUGUCACAAGGGUGCAAAAUCCUGCAUGUUGGUUUGAGUGUACAGGAAAAGCCAGGCAGCCAGGCCUGGGGAGAAUGCAGCUGGGCCUGAGUUUUGUGUAGCCAGUUUCUAAUUCCCAUUGGGCAGGUGCCUGACCAGCAUCAGCCCAGCCUGGAGAAUGGGCCAGCUCAGCUUGGGCCUGCCUGUCCUUCCAGAGCCCCACUACCUCCUGGAGCUGCCCUGACCUGAGCACUGUGAUCAAAUCUAUCACUGCUGUGUGCUCGUGGGACCUUUGCUUUGGGCAAAGAGGCCAAAUACUACUUUUUUCAGAAAAAUAUUUUGGUACGUAAACACGCAAGGUGCACACGAGCAGCUGAACCGAGUGAACUUCCGCAGAAUAAAAGGCAAUGAGAACUAGAUGUGUUGGAAUAU